GACCUCCUCCCCUCAGGAAAAGUGCUGCUGCUGGAGGGCGAAGGGGCCCCAGGGCCUCGUCAGGGCCUGGCAACUGCUUCUGCCCCUCUCUCCACCGCCCUCGCCAUCCCGCCCGGCCUCUCUCCCCUUCUCCUUGUUUUCUCCGCAGGCGCUCAUUCAGGCUCCCUCCUUCCUCAGCGCCGCAUGGCUCCUUCUUCUUCCUUCCACAGAAGUUUUGAGGUAUCCGACCCGCGCGCGAGACGGGAAGGUGUGCGCGCGCCUGCGUUUGUGUCUGUGUGCUCCUCGCGCACAAGCACGCGCCCCUACCCGUCCGCCCAAAGAGGGGCUUUCGCUGCUUGCUUGCUCGCUCCCUCUCUCCCGGCUGCUGUUCCGCGGAGUCUGAGAGAGUGGCGAAAGGCACGCCCCCCCCCCCCACAGCGCGUCGCAGCCAAUCCCAAGCCAGGAGCGCCUCUUUGGAAUCUCGAGGCGGGAGGCGCGCGAGCCGCUGCUCUCUUUCUCUCUCCCCCCUUCUCUGAACUUCCAGACAGCAGGUAACUAUGCAAAAGGACAACCCCAGUCCAACACAUCUAAAUCAGUGCCACACCUUCACACUUUUGAACCCUUCUCCUUCUGAUAGUGUCUGAGAAAAAUAUCUACAUGAAGAAUUGGAGAUGGAAUGAGAGGGUGAAGAGGAAGAGCUCCAACACACAUUUGCUGGUUUUUUUCCAGUUAAGUCCAGAAAUGUCAUACCCACCUUUGGCUUCUGAACCUGAUCCAGAAAUGAACUAUGACCUGGAUGAAGCUUAUUCUGACUUUUUACCUAGUCCACAGAGCUCUUUCCAAUUACAGCUGCCGGCUGUUGAUAGCUCGGCUGAUUCCUUAAUUGGGAGAGAAAGUGAAAAUAUUACUCCCAUGGCGGAACCAGAUGUUCUUAGUUCCCCAAAGAAUGUGUCCUUCAACAGAAGGGAGUUUCUGCAUCACCAGAGAUCUGAGAAACAAGAACUCCGCAGGAGUAACCGCUUGGCAUCUCGAGGGGAUAAUGGAUAGAAGGCUUUCCCUUGGGAACCUUUAGGGAGUUUGGCUUUCCUUGUUUGUGAUCAAAUCUAAGUUCCAUAAAAGUGCUUUGCACCAUGGACAUUUCGCGGUGUCAACAUUUCUAUUUCCUGAGAAAGGUUCACCAACUCUAGCUCCUGUUUCUUCCAAGCCAAGUUUCCAGAUCCUGGCGGCCAAGCCGAGCCGCGACUCCCAAGUAGACCCGGAUUAAGUCUACUUCCUUGCCUGAACCAAGUUUUGCCUCAGCUUCAUCGCGUUCCUGCCUUGUUAUCAAAGUUUUCCUAGUGACUUUGGACUUUGUUAUUCAGUCUUGCUUCCUUGUUUUUUCCCCGCUCAAGAACUUUCCAACAGUUUUGAGUGUGUUUCGGUUUCUGGACUUUGGACAAUAAUAUUGACAUAUCCCUUCAAUUCUUUGGACUAAUUCCUACCUUUUCAUAAAAGACUAUUACCUGCUCAACCUUUCCACCUAUUCAUUCCUGGAUUUAUAACUGUUUUAAUAAAGG
Molecule: long non-coding RNA, 1535 nt
Filed under: Anolis carolinensis (green anole)
Lineage: Eukaryota; Metazoa; Chordata; Lepidosauria; Squamata; Anolidae
Description: lncRNA (ENSACAG00000031677.2)
Source: RNAcentral